CUACGGGCUGCUGCAGUGAGGAAUUUUGCGCAAUGGGGGAAACCCUGACGCAGCAACGCCGCGUGAGCGAAGAAGGCCUUCGGGUCGUAAAGCUCUGUCAAGUGGGAAAAAAAUCUUUUGACCAAUAGUCAAAAGACUUGAUGGUACCACUGGAGGAAGCACCGGCUAACUCCGUGCCAGCAGCCGCGGUAAUACGGAGGGUGCAAGCGUUGUUCGGAUUUACUGGGCGUAAAGAGCGUGUAGGCGGUUUAGCAAGUCAGAUGUGAAAGCCCUGGGCUCAACCCGGGAAGUGCAUUUGAAACUGCUUCACUAGAGUAUGGGAGAGGAGAUUGGAAUUCCUGGUGUAGAGGUGAAAUUCGUAGAUAUCAGGAGGAACACCCGUGGCGAAGGCGAUUCUCUGGACCAAUACUGACGCUGAGACGCGAAAGCGUGGGGAGCAAACAGGAUUAGAUACCCGCGUAGUC
RNAcentral lists this ribosomal RNA (464 nucleotides) under uncultured bacterium. RNAcentral's name for it is "partial 16S ribosomal RNA". It matches the Rfam family "Bacterial small subunit ribosomal RNA", at positions 339 to 795 of the family's 1533-position model. The record is from RNAcentral.